This 803-nucleotide small RNA is filed under the name Pongo abelii (Sumatran orangutan). RNAcentral's name for it is "retained intron". The stretch from base 185 to 362 matches the Rfam family "Small nucleolar RNA SNORA81". Lineage: Eukaryota; Metazoa; Chordata; Mammalia; Primates; Hominidae. The record is from RNAcentral.
CUCUUUUUAAGGUUGUGUUGCUUUCUGCCACAAUGCCAACUGAUGUGUUGGAAGUGACCAAAAAAUUCAUGAGAGAUCCAAUUCGAAUUCUGGUGAAAAAGGAAGAAUUGACCCUUGAAGGAAUCAAACAGUUUUAUAUUAAUGUUGAGAGAGAGGUAACUGUCUAAUUGUUAGACAUUAUUUUACCUUCUUGUAUAAGCACUGUGCUAAAAUUGCAGACACUAGGACCAUGUCUUGGUUUUUGCAAUAAUGCUAGCAGAGUACACACAAGAAGAAAAGUAACAGCACUAGAUUGUAAAGACUGGGGUGGACCUCUUUCUUAAUGUCCAAUGUCCUUUGUCUUAAGAUUUGGUGCAAUAUCUCAUUAGACCUAACAGAAUGAAGUUAAUUUUUAUAAUUUCUACAUUUUGAGACUGGGUUAUAAGACUGGCUAAGACUGGCCAAUUUUGGUAUUUUGGGUAGAGAUGGUUUCACUAUCUUGAAACCCUGGUCUGGUUGGAACUCUGGGCUCAAGUGCUGGGAUCCCAAAGUGCUGGGAUUACAGGCAUUAGCAUUGUGGCUGGCCCAGAAUGAAUUUUUAACUGAAGAAAGUUGGAAAAACUAAAUGACUGUUAACUUUCUCUUCUAAACAUUACAGGAGUGGAAGUUGGAUACACUUUGUGACUUGUACGAGACACUGACCAUCACGCAGGCUGUUAUUUUUCUCAAUACGAGGCGCAAGGUGGACUGGCUGACUGAGAAAAUGCAUGCCAGAGAUUUCACAGUUUCUGCUCUGCAUGGUGACAUGGACCAGAAGGAGAGAG